Molecule: ribosomal RNA, 393 nt
Filed under: uncultured Sphingomonas sp.
Lineage: Bacteria; Pseudomonadati; Pseudomonadota; Alphaproteobacteria; Sphingomonadales; Sphingomonadaceae
Description: bacterial SSU rRNA
Rfam family: Bacterial small subunit ribosomal RNA
Source: RNAcentral
UGGCGCACGGGUGCGUAACGCGUGGGAAUCUGCCCUUGGGUUCGGAAUAACAGUUGGAAACGACUGCUAAUACCGGAUGAUGUCGUAAGUCCAAAGAUUUAUCGCCCAAGGAUGAGCCCGCGUAUGAUUAGCUAGUUGGUGAGGUAAAGGCUCACCAAGGCGACGAUCCUUAGCUGGUCUGAGAGGAUGAUCAGCCACACUGGGACUGAGACACGGCCCAGACUCCUACGGGAGGCAGCAGUAGGGAAUAUUGGACAAUGGGCGAAAGCCUGAUCCAGCAAUGCCGCGUGAGUGAUGAAGGCCUUAGGGUUGUAAAGUUCUUUUACCCGAGAUGACAAUGACAGUACCGGGAGAAUAAGCCCCGGCUAACUCCGUGCCAGCAGCCGCGGUAAU